GAUGAACGCUGGCGGCGUGCCUAAUACAUGCAAGUCGAGCGAACGGACGAGAAGCUUGCUUCUCUGAUGUUAGCGGCGGACGGGUGAGUAACACGUGGAUAACCUACCUAUAAGACUGGGAUAACUUCGGGAAACCGGAGCUAAUACCGGAUAAUAUUUUGAACCGCAUGGUUCAAAAGUGAAAGACGGUCUUGCUGUCACUUAUAGAUGGAUCCGCGCUGCGUUAGCUAGUUGGUAAGGUAACGGCUUACCAAGGCAACGAUGCAUAGCCGACCUGUGAGGGGGAUCGGCCACACUGGAACUGAGACGCGGUCCAGGCUCCUACGGGAGGCAGCAGUAGGGAAUCUGCCGCAAUGGGCGAAAGCCUGACGGAGCAACGCCGCGUGAGUGAUGAAGGUCUUCGGAUCGUAAAACUCUGUUAUUAGGGAAAAACAGAUGUGUAAGUAACUGUGCACAUCUUGACGGUACCUAAUCAGAAAGCCACGGCUAACUACGUG
Molecule: ribosomal RNA, 497 nt
Filed under: uncultured bacterium
Lineage: Bacteria
Description: partial 16S ribosomal RNA
Rfam family: Bacterial small subunit ribosomal RNA
Source: RNAcentral